This is a long non-coding RNA of Oncorhynchus kisutch (coho salmon), 1675 nucleotides long. RefSeq lists it as uncharacterized. The record is from RefSeq and is a predicted model, not a curated record. The transcript has 4 exons. Lineage: Eukaryota; Metazoa; Chordata; Actinopteri; Salmoniformes; Salmonidae.
CAGAAACUAGCUGGAGCAGCAGCACCUAAAUAUCAGCAGAAAAUAGUAACAAAACAUCACUUGUCUGCACUCUAUUCCUCCACCCAUGUCUUCACACAUCUGCUAACUGCCACGUAGACAGAGGUUGUACUUUUCUAUAAAAGCUGAAACCCAACUCCGUUUGUUGGGCUCCUAACUCUGCACCAUUGAGUGAUUUGUUUACCGCUUCAGAUUUAAAAGUCCUAUAAUAAAGUUGAUGUUUUAAGAAUCUACAGUCUCUCUUCAUUUCCACAACAAUUCUUGGAGACAAGGAUGAGAUGGCUAAUUCCGCUUGCUGAUCGUUCCCAGGGACACCAAGGUUAACUGUGCAUAGAGGCUAGGUUAGACGUGGCUCAGGGAGCCCACACUUCUAUUGAGAGGAGCAGAAGGGAACUGCCUCGGACCCGGCAGGGAGUAAGGCGCCAUCCCGAAAAUACAGAGUUAAGGGGCCGGAUCGAGGAACGGGAAUGCAGACGCGCUGUCCCGACGCGACCAAGAUGGUGCGUCUGGAGCCAGACCCUCCGGUUCAGUCCUGGGGGGGAAGAGAGAGAAUGGAACCAGUAGAGAGGGGAGGGGAAAACUAUCUCUGGAAGAUGACCACCGAGACAGAGGAGCUAUCCAGGAAGAACCACUAAGACGGGUAAAAGCUGCUUUACCUGGACCACUCCACAAACUUCAGCCAGGCGAUUGGGUGGUCAUCAAGGACCUCCGCAGAAAUACUAGGCACCAACAGCGCUGGACUGGUCUAUUCCAGGUGCUCCAGACAACACAGACAGCGUUGUCUGCAGAGAGGAUGCAGAGAGGUCUUAGGUUCACGUCAGCCACUGCAGGGAGGUUCCCCACGCCAGGUGACGAAUUGUCGUCGGCGACUCUAGUGGCCAUGGGAAGACCAGGACUGGACUCAAAGCAUAAUUUCGUACACUAGAGUUGAGGAACAAUGGGAAAGUCAUUCUGCUUUGAAAGUUGAUAAACUUAACCUCACUUUUGAAAAAAUGGCCCUUGAAUGAUUGGUAAACCUACUGGAGAGCUCUUUGUCUACACCCAUUCAGCAUCGUUCACACCCUCUUAAGCCUUAACCCCCUGCUCAACACUUUAAGGAUUAACAUGUGAGGCCAUGUACUAAACAACCAAAGAUUUCAAGAAUAGAGGCUGGUUUAUACUACGGGUGUAUUUGUAAAUUGUUAUGGAGAUUCACAUGGUUAAGGUAAUGGUAAGAUAAUGAUUAAUACGUUCCAAUUAAUGUUAAGGCCAUAACUAACAGUAUUCCACCCUGUCACUGUAUGAUGGAGUAAAAUGUGUUUGAAUCAUAAGACUAGAAUUCUUGAUUGUAUGUGAAAAAAGAGGAACAAAAAAAAAGAAUAAAAAAAGAGGAACUGUUACCAGACAAGAGACUGUGGCAGACAACUUGUGACAACUGUGAAACUGAUAACAGGGAAGGAGGUCUCCCCACCCAGGAAGGGGAGAAACCGUUGGGCUUGCCGUAGAUUGUGUAACAUGUUGCAGGAUAUGAUAAGCAAGGUAUGUGUUGGAGAAACCUUGUAAACAGCAUUGACAGUGUUAGAGAGGAGGGGCAUUUAUAUUACCAAAUGUGAGGUAUAAAAGGCUAUGUGCAUUGUAUGAUUUUUUGCGCUCUUGUGAAUAAACCUUCUGACUAUAA